GCAUAUCAAUAAGCGGAGGAAAAGAAACCAACAGGGAUUGCCCCAGUAACGGCGAGUGAAGCGGCAAGAGCUCAAAUUUGAAAGCUGGCUCCUUCGGGGUCCGCAUUGUAAUUUGUAGAGGAUGCUUCGGGAGCGGUCCCCAUCUAAGUGCCCUGGAACGGGACGUCAUAGAGGGUGAGAAUCCCGUAUGGGAUGGGGUGUCCGCGCCCGUGUGAAGCUCCUUCGACGAGUCGAGUUGUUUGGGAAUGCAGCUCUAAAUGGGUGGUAAAUUUCAUCUAAAGCUAAAUAUUGGCCGGAGACCGAUAGCGCACAAGUAGAGUGAUCGAAAGAUGAAAAGCACUUUGAAAAGAGAGUUAAAAAGCACGUGAAAUUGUUGAAAGGGAAGCGCUUGCGACCAGACUCGCUCGCGGGGUUCAGCCGGCAUUCGUGCCGGUGUACUUCCCCGCGGGCGGGCCAGCGUCGGUUUGGGCGGUCGGUCAAAGGCCCUCGGAAGGUAACGCCCCUAGGGGCGUCUUAUAGCCGAGGGUGCAAUGCGACCUGCCUAGACCGAGGAACGCGCUUCGGCUCGGACGCUGGCAUAAUGGUCGUAAACGACCCGUCUUGAAACACGGACC
This 614-nucleotide ribosomal RNA is filed under the name Penicillium chrysogenum. RNAcentral's name for it is "eukaryotic LSU rRNA". It matches the Rfam family "Eukaryotic large subunit ribosomal RNA", at positions 38 to 667 of the family's 3401-position model. RNAcentral also lists the same sequence under 2 other names. The record is from RNAcentral. Lineage: Eukaryota; Fungi; Ascomycota; Eurotiomycetes; Eurotiales; Aspergillaceae.